This 210-nucleotide ribosomal RNA is filed under the name uncultured bacterium. RNAcentral's name for it is "partial 16S ribosomal RNA". It matches the Rfam family "Bacterial small subunit ribosomal RNA", at positions 29 to 262 of the family's 1533-position model. The record is from RNAcentral.
AACGAACGCUGGCGGCAGGCCUAACACAUGCAAGUCGAACGCCGUAGCAAUACGGAGUGGCAGACGGGUGCGUAACGCGUGGGAACAUACCCUUUGGUUCGGAAUAACGUCAGGGGAAACUUGAGCUAAUACCGGAUAAGCCCGUUACGGGGAAAGGAUUUAUCGCCAAUGGAUUGGCCCGCGUCUGAUUAGCUAGUUGGUGAGGUAAGU